AUUGAACGCUGGCGGCAUGCCUUACACAUGCAAGUCGAACGGCAGCAUGGAGAGCUUGCUCUCUGAUGGCGAGUGGCGAACGGGUGAGUAAAGCAUCGGAACGUACCGUGUAGUGGGGGAUAACGUAGCGAAAGUUACACUAAUACCGCAUACGCACUGAGGUGGAAAGCAGGGGAUCGCAAGACCUUGCGCUAUACGAGCGGCCGAUGUCCGAUUAGCUAGUUGGUAGGGUAAAGGCCUACCAAGGCGACGAUCUGUAGCGGGUCUGAGAGGAUGAUCCGCCACACUGGGACUGAGACACGGCCCAUACUCCUACGGGAGGCAGCAGUGGGGAAUUUUGGACAAUGGGGGCAACCCUGAUCCAGCCAUGCCGCGUGAGUGAAGAAGGCCUUCGGGUUGUAAAGCUCUUUCGGCCGGGAAGAAAUCGCACAGGCUAAUACUCUGUGUGGAUGACGGUACCGGCAUAAGAAGCACCGGCUAACUACGUGCCAGCAGCCGCCGUAA
This 504-nucleotide ribosomal RNA is filed under the name uncultured bacterium. RNAcentral describes it as "partial 16S ribosomal RNA". It matches the Rfam family "Bacterial small subunit ribosomal RNA", at positions 30 to 523 of the family's 1533-position model. The record is from RNAcentral.